Molecule: non-coding RNA, 88 nt
Organism: Cucurbitaria berberidis CBS 394.84
Lineage: Eukaryota; Fungi; Ascomycota; Dothideomycetes; Pleosporales; Cucurbitariaceae
Source: the annotation of a RefSeq genome assembly
GGCUCGGUGGUGUAGUUGGUUAUCACGUCAGUCUAACAGCUAUUUAGCGCAACACUGAAGGUCCCGUGUUCGAGCCACGGCUGAGUCA